RNAcentral lists this ribosomal RNA (253 nucleotides) under uncultured bacterium. Its description in RNAcentral is "partial 16S ribosomal RNA". It matches the Rfam family "Bacterial small subunit ribosomal RNA", at positions 524 to 776 of the family's 1533-position model. The record is from RNAcentral.
UACAGAGGUCUCAAGCGUUGUUCGGAUUCAUUGGGCGUAAAGGGUGCGUAGGUGGCGCCGUAAGUGGGGUGUGAAAUCUCGGGGCUUAACUCCGAAACUGCAUUCCAUACUGCGGUGCUUGAGGACUGGAGAGGAGACUGGAAUUCAUGGUGUAGCAGUGAAAUGCGUAGAUAUCGUAAGGAAGACCGGUGGCGAAGGCUAGUCUCUGGACAGUUACUGACACUGAGGCACGAAGGCCAGGGGAGCAAACGGG